This 322-nucleotide ribosomal RNA is filed under the name uncultured eukaryote. RNAcentral's name for it is "partial 18S ribosomal RNA". It matches the Rfam family "Eukaryotic small subunit ribosomal RNA", at positions 1470 to 1796 of the family's 1831-position model. The record is from RNAcentral.
CCCUUAGAUGUUCUGGGCCACACGCGUGCUACACUGAGUGGAUCAGCGGGUCAGGUUGCGCGAAAGUGUUUCCUAAUCUUGAAAUCCGCUCGUGAUGGGGAUUGACGGUUGCAAUUUUCCGUCAUGAACGAGGAAUACCUUGUAAGCGCGGGUCAUCAUCCCGCGCUGAAUACGUCCCUGCCCUUUGUACACACCGCCCGUCGCUCCUACCGAUUGAGUGGUCCGGUGAGGCUUUGGGAUCUGAGCAAAAAGAGCGUUUCGCUCGUUUGGCUCGGAAAACUCAGUCGAACCUUAUCAUUUAGAGGAAGGAGAAGUCGUAACA